Molecule: transfer RNA, 59 nt
Filed under: Erinaceus europaeus (western European hedgehog)
Lineage: Eukaryota; Metazoa; Chordata; Mammalia; Eulipotyphla; Erinaceidae
Rfam family: tRNA
About the family: Transfer RNA (tRNA) molecules are approximately 80 nucleotides in length. Their secondary structure includes four short double-helical elements and three loops (D, anti-codon, and T loops).
Source: Rfam by way of RNAcentral
GUGGCUCAGUGGUACAGUGCAGGACUUAUAAUCAUGAAGUCCUGGGUUCGAUCCCAAGC